CCCCGAGAUGAGUUCUCCCUGAGACUUAGAGUCUCCUGAAGGAACGUUGAAGACGACGACGUUGAUAGGCCGGGUGUGUAAGCGCAGCGAUGCGUUGAGCUAACCGGUACUAAUGAACCGUGAGGCUUAACCUU
Molecule: ribosomal RNA, 134 nt
Filed under: Escherichia coli
Lineage: Bacteria; Pseudomonadati; Pseudomonadota; Gammaproteobacteria; Enterobacterales; Enterobacteriaceae
Also listed under: 3 other names
Description: partial 23S ribosomal RNA
Rfam family: Bacterial large subunit ribosomal RNA
Source: RNAcentral